Long non-coding RNA from Xenia sp. Carnegie-2017, 1598 nucleotides. RefSeq lists it as uncharacterized. The transcript is spliced from 2 exons. NCBI's taxonomy places the organism in Eukaryota, Metazoa, Cnidaria, Anthozoa, Malacalcyonacea, Xeniidae. The record is from RefSeq and is a predicted model, not a curated record.
UCAAAAGAAAAGACGAUUUCACGAAACGUCUCAAAAACAACAUGAAAACGUCACAAAUUUAGAUGGAAGGAACAGGUCCAACGCAAAGACAAGAUUGAAAAUCCAAGUGAUACGGAAAUGUUUCGCUUUCUCAAUAGCUCAGCUAAGCGUUAAAGUGAAAUUAUCGUACUCUAUUUCGAGUGAUGCACAAGCAUUUAAGCUAUAAUAAAAAUUACGCCACAAAUAACUCGCACGAGACUGCGAUACAAAUUGCUUCAAGCUUACCGCACAUCGUUGCAGAGCGUUGCAGCGAUAGCUUACACCGUCUGAAAGUGGGAAAUCUAGAAGAUAUCCCUGCUGAGAUGCAAAUUUGUUGCCACUAAACGUCGCACUUGAAGCCGGGUACUCAAAUAGUCACUUGAGUUUAGCAGUCUUCUCUAGAACACAAGGCGAAGGACAGAGCUCUAUCCAGAAGACUGAAAAGAAUCAGUCAAUACGAUUCAAACGACAAUAAUAAACUAUUGAGCAGUUUACUUGUUUAUAGGCGACUUGCCGCCCAUGGUGUUGUUUUGGUUUAUACCUUAAUGUGUACCAACAAUAGGAAUGAAAGUGUAAACGACGCACAUCUUCACCUAUUAAAAUGAUGAAGUUGAGUCACGGUUCAUUUUAUGUACCGUCAGUGGCGACGCCAGCCUCCGACAAAUGGUCAUGCAAUCGAGCGGUGGAUUACUGGCCCCCCGUCAAAUAAUAAAAUAAAAAUUUUACAUGUUUGUAAAUGUAGAUCGUCCAGUUACGCCACUGUUCCUGAGGGAAGAUACAACAACAUUACCAACUUGAGCUGGAGUCAAUAUUAGCAUUUAUUCGAAAAACGGAUGGUUUGUGGGCCCGUUUCAGCUUGAACGUGGCAGGAAUGAAUCACAAGAGUGAAUCACAACUCCAUACUAACUCCCAUGAGCUUUGAGAAAACGCAUAUAGGUAAAUGUCAGAGCAUGCAAAAGGAUGUCGAGUACUGAUGUCUUACUUAUUGCCAACGUGGCGCAAACAAGGCAAUGACAUUUAAAUGAUUUAAGAAAAUAGCUAAGAUUUGAACUAAACUUGUCAAUUACAUCUCAUCGUAAAUUUUAGGACGUACCGUAAAAUUGUUUCAGAGGUUUAAUGACGCACUGUACAUUUUUCGUUAUUUUGCUGUAGAGCAUGGGCAUACCGGCUAACCUUUUUUAGGGAGUCUGUGAUGUCGGUACAUUUUCAAUCGUGAAUAACUUAAUUUCCCGACUUUCCAGUCACCCCAGUGACAUUGCAUAUGAAACGCCUAUGCGAAACGCCUAUGCUACUCAGUCUAACGAAUCCAAGAUGAUAAGAGUGAAGAAACCACUUAUCAUUUACAGCUUCGACACUAAAUAUUGUGCUAUAAGCAUAUUUCAUAAAAGAAAACUACCUAAUUUAGACCUUCAACACGGAUAAAUGUACGCAUAAAUGAAUGGUACAUGUUCAGGGGAUCUUUUCUAAAUUUCACCACAGCUUUUCUAUCAUAUGUUAACAUCAUUCGAUGAAGUAAAUAACUCAGAAAUCAUACGUUGAUGGAAUUUAUGUCAACCAAAAGUAAAUAGUUGUACAUGGCG